Molecule: long non-coding RNA, 499 nt
Organism: Ceratitis capitata (Mediterranean fruit fly)
Lineage: Eukaryota; Metazoa; Arthropoda; Insecta; Diptera; Tephritidae
Exons: 3
Source: RefSeq, a predicted model, not a curated record
ACAUAAAAUUUACAGUAACUGCUUGGCUAGUAUUUACAAUAAGAGAUAGAUUAAUACUUCGGUCCACUUAGAGAUACGAAGAUGAUAAAGGAAUCAUGAGCCUGACAUAUGUGAAAAUAAUAGUUUUCGGUAAAAGAAUUAAGCUGUGACGCUAUCCCAAUAUGAAAUAUUUUAAAUGCGAAUCUUAAAACCGUGACAAAACGAAAUAUGGAACUAAUAAACUUUGAAAGAGGAGUGAUGUUUCCAAUGCGACUGUUCGUAUGACAAAAAGAUAUAAAGAGGGGAAAUGCCAAGUUGAGUGAGAAGCAGACAUCAUAUUAAAGGUUAAAAUAAUUACCAUAAUGAAUACUCGCAAAAUGUUUAAGGAAAACAGAAACUUAUACUAAAAGACAUAUACACAUAGGUCCUAUUUUGAAAAUAAAGUAAUUUUAAAUCUAAAUUGUAAGGAAGGUAAUUAUUACAUUAUUCUAUAUAAAGCGGCUGAUAUUCACUAGAAAAG